This is a small nuclear RNA of Loxodonta africana (African savanna elephant), 106 nucleotides long. The record is from Ensembl. Lineage: Eukaryota; Metazoa; Chordata; Mammalia; Proboscidea; Elephantidae.
GUGCUCUCUUUGGCUACACACAUACUAAAAUUGGAAGGAUACAGAGAAGAUUAGCUUGGACCCUGCACAAGGAAGACACCAAAUUCAUGAAGUGUUCCAUAUUUUU